This 58-nucleotide transfer RNA is filed under the name Cordylochernes scorpioides. RNAcentral describes it as "tRNA-OTHER". It matches the Rfam family "tRNA". Rfam says of the family: Transfer RNA (tRNA) molecules are approximately 80 nucleotides in length. Their secondary structure includes four short double-helical elements and three loops (D, anti-codon, and T loops). Further hydrogen bonds mediate the characteristic L-shaped molecular structure. tRNAs have two regions of fundamental functional importance: the anti-codon, which is responsible for specific mRNA codon recognition, and the 3' end, to which the tRNAs corresponding amino acid is attached (by aminoacyl-tRNA synthetases). tRNAs cope with the degeneracy of the genetic code in two manners: having more than one tRNA (with a specific anti-codon) for a particular amino acid; and 'wobble' base-pairing, i.e. permitting non-standard base-pairing at the 3rd anti-codon position. The record is from RNAcentral. Lineage: Eukaryota; Metazoa; Arthropoda; Arachnida; Pseudoscorpiones; Chernetidae.
UCCAGGAUAGCCUAGUGGACAUAGCAGAAGGUUGUGGGUUCGAUUCCCGCUCCUGGAC